AAACCAGCACCUCAAGUGGUCAGGAGGAUUAUUGGGCCUAAAGCAUCCGUAGCCUGUUCUAUAAGUUUCCGGUUAAAUCCAUUAGCUCAACUAAUGGGCUGCCGAAAAUACUGUAGAACUAGGGAGUGGGAGAGGUAGACGGUAUUCGGUAGGAAGGGGUAAAAUCCUUUGAUCUAUUGAGGACCACCUGUGGCGAAGGCGGUCUACCAGAACACGUUCGACGGUGAGGGAUGAAAGCUGGGGGAACAAACCGGAUUAGAUACCCGAGUAGUCC
Molecule: ribosomal RNA, 274 nt
Filed under: uncultured bacterium
Lineage: Bacteria
Description: partial 16S ribosomal RNA
Rfam family: Archaeal small subunit ribosomal RNA
Source: RNAcentral